UACAACAUUAAUGAAGAGGAGGAGGAGGGGGAACAAUCAUAUGCAUUUCAUAGCUAGAACCUUAACUUUCCUUCCUCCUCUCUUUUCUUAUUUAAUAAUUCUUUUCACUAAUAAGGAGAAGGAGCAGAUAAACAUGAAAGUAGGAAGAAUAAUGGCGUUCGGUAAUAAGGAGAGUCUGCUUCCUCCCCUCUUUCUUCACAUUUCAUUCCUCCUUUCCUUAUUUGAUAAUUUCCUUUGCUAACGCAGAAGGAAAAGGAGGAGAAGGAGUUAAACAUGAAAAAAGAAGAAAAAAGAGGCGUGUGUUUUGUCCUUUCUUUCUUUACUUCAUUCUUUCCUCCCCUGCCUGGCGCCUCUCUCUCUCUCUUAUAGGUGCGGGCGGUGCUGCCUGUGGAGGAGGGCGCAGCUGUGUACCACUGUGAGGCGCAGCUGGACGGCAGAACCAUUGUGACUCACUGCUUGGAGAAGAACAAGGCAGAGAAGGUGUACAAGGAGGCUUUGAAAGAGGGGAAGACUGCCCUCAUGACACGAGAAGACCCUGACUCAAGCGACAUUCUCACGCUUAACCUCGGCAACUUUCCUGCGGGAACGAGGGCCAAGGUCACCCUUCGUCUGGUGAUGGAGUUGAGGGUUGAGACAGACGGCAUCAUCAGCUUUGUUUUGCCCACAGUACUCAACCCGCGCUACACCCCUGCUGACCACCCUCGCAGGCAAGGAAUCAAAGUAAAAAUGGAUUAAUCCGUUCCCGCACACCGUCGCAGCAGCUCAGGACAAGGCCUG
This is a long non-coding RNA of Scylla paramamosain (green mud crab), 777 nucleotides long. RefSeq lists it as uncharacterized. Lineage: Eukaryota; Metazoa; Arthropoda; Malacostraca; Decapoda; Portunidae. The record is from RefSeq and is a predicted model, not a curated record. The transcript is spliced from 4 exons.